UAGGCGUAAAUGAUGCGAGUUAAGUGUGGGGGCAUCUACGAGAUGGUCCUGUGCUGUAGGGUAGCCGUUAAACUCGCUGCCUGGGGAGUACGGUCGCAAGGCUGAAACUUAAAGGAAUUGGCGGGGGAGCACCACAACGGGUGGAGCUUGCGGUUUAAUUGGAUUCAACGCCGGAAAUCUUACCGGGACCGACAGCAACAUGAAGGCCAGGCUGAAGACUUUGCCGGAUUAGCUGAGAGGAGGUGCAUGGCGUAGUCGUGU
This 261-nucleotide ribosomal RNA is filed under the name uncultured archaeon. Its description in RNAcentral is "partial 16S ribosomal RNA". It matches the Rfam family "Archaeal small subunit ribosomal RNA", at positions 748 to 1009 of the family's 1478-position model. The record is from RNAcentral.